Molecule: ribosomal RNA, 253 nt
Filed under: uncultured bacterium
Lineage: Bacteria
Description: partial 16S ribosomal RNA
Rfam family: Bacterial small subunit ribosomal RNA
Source: RNAcentral
UACGGAGGGGGCUAGCGUUGUUCGGAAUUACUGGGCGUAAAGCGCACGUAGGCGGCUUUGUAAGUUAGAGGUGAAAGCCCGGGGCUCAACUCCGGAAUUGCCUUUAAGACUGCAUCGCUAGAAUUGUGGAGAGGUAAGUGGAAUUCCGAGUGUAGAGGUGAAAUUCGUAGAUAUUCGGAAGAACACCAGUGGCGAAGGCGGCUUACUGGACACAUAUUGACGCUGAGGUGCGAAAGCGUGGGGAGCAAACAGG